CAUGGACGCUGUCUCUUAACAAGUCACAAUCACCUUCUGGAAGCAAACGGUGCAGUUGUGUAGUUAGCAUCAUAUGUAAAACUGGUGAACUGAAAUUGGUAUCAUAAAAUUUUUAAAAUAGCGAAAACGAAGACGUUUAUAUUAUUGCUGAACCUAAUCCUGAUUAAUGAUUUCUGAAGAGAAAGGUCAUGGAGCAAUCUUGUGCAUCCAAUAACUUCCAGCGAUACAUUUAAGAUUGGCGAGCCUUAUGAAGCGUGGUGAUCAGGCUUUGCUUCCAGGUAUGAUGGAAGCUUAAUGGGCAAUAAACGAAAUCUCGGGGAGCAAAUUUCAUUAGGGGCCAUUGUUGAAGGAAAGCCACGACCGCAACAAAUUGGCUGACAAACAGUGUCGCUUCGCUGAGCAACGCUGGCCGGAAUGUACUUUCGUAUCUUCUAUCGCUUUGUGUAUAAAUUGCUACAGGUUUUAGUUUUAGUAGAUGUUUCUGAAACUUUCAAAAGGAAGGUUUUCUCAAUUCGUUUAUAUUUAUUAUUAUAAUCGUUACUUGAAUAUAUAGCCAAUUUUGAACAAAAUUUGUUUUUUUUUAUUACAAUAGGAUCUACGCAGUAGUAGAUCCUAUGUGACGAGUACUUUGUGACGAUUGAUAACGUCAUUUUUCUUUGCGGAGCAAAAAACUGUUUGUUGUGACGCUAAACCUACUUUAGUGUUUAUUAUUCCCGUAGCUUAUUUUGUUCUGAUAAUAUCUUUAUUUAUUACAGAACAUUUUA
Galleria mellonella (greater wax moth) is the source of this 764-nucleotide long non-coding RNA. RefSeq lists it as uncharacterized. Lineage: Eukaryota; Metazoa; Arthropoda; Insecta; Lepidoptera; Pyralidae. The record is from RefSeq and is a predicted model, not a curated record. The transcript has 3 exons.